This is a transfer RNA of Cavia porcellus (domestic guinea pig), 75 nucleotides long. It matches the Rfam family "tRNA". Rfam says of the family: Transfer RNA (tRNA) molecules are approximately 80 nucleotides in length. Their secondary structure includes four short double-helical elements and three loops (D, anti-codon, and T loops). The record is from Rfam. NCBI's taxonomy places the organism in Eukaryota, Metazoa, Chordata, Mammalia, Rodentia, Caviidae.
GUUAAGGUGGCAGAGCCCGGAAAUUCCAUAAAACUUACAACUUUACAUUCAGAGGUUCAACUCCUCUCCUUAACA